GAUCUGGCUCAGGAUGAACGCUAGCUACAGGCUUAACACAUGCAAGUCGAGGGGAAACGACAUCGAAAGCUUGCUUUUGAUGGGCGUCGACCGGCGCACUGGUGAGUAACGCGUAUCCAACCUGCCCACCACUUGGGGAUAACCUUGCGAAAGUAAGACUAAUACCCAAUGAUAUCUCUAGAAGACAUCUGAAAGGGAUUAAAGAUUUAUCGGUGAUGGAUGGGGAUGCGUCUGAUUAG
RNAcentral lists this ribosomal RNA (239 nucleotides) under uncultured bacterium. RNAcentral's name for it is "partial 16S ribosomal RNA". It matches the Rfam family "Bacterial small subunit ribosomal RNA", at positions 15 to 244 of the family's 1533-position model. The record is from RNAcentral.